This is a long non-coding RNA of Equus caballus (horse), 3845 nucleotides long. The record is from Ensembl. Lineage: Eukaryota; Metazoa; Chordata; Mammalia; Perissodactyla; Equidae.
GGCCUGAAGGGUCAGCUCAAAACAAAAUACGCUGGAGGAGCAGGGCCAUUGACCAAACUUCUUACCUGAGUAUAUUACGCCUCUGUGUAUUUCCAUAUUAGCUUUUUUGUAUUAGUUAUAGAGGAGGUAGGGAGAAAUAUUUUUAGAAAAUGUUCUCUUGGUAUUUUUCAAGCGGACAAAAAAAGCAAAUAACACCAAGUUUAAAAGAAAUUGUACUUGUGGGAGUUCCAGACCAUUUUGGUCAAGCUAACCAGGCCUGAUAUUUUGGACACGGUUAAGACACGUACUUGAACUUCUGGGUGGCUAUCUAAUUCAAACCUUCAGCGUUAUGGAAGUUCCUUACUAAAUAUUAGUGUUAGAAAUGCCUUGUCUUACGAGAGCCUCUGAUAGGAAAGCUCUGGAAAAAUGCAGGUCUAAACUGGGAAAGGCUUUUCAUUAUUUUUUUUAAGCAAAUAAAACCCCAGAAUGGAUUUUCUUUCCAAGAUGUGUUUUGUUUUAUCACAAUGACCUUUCUAAAGAAAGAUGAAGCCAGCCUCAGGUUAACUCUGAAGGCCUCAGCUCAUCCAACUGAGAGCAGAUUAGCCCAGAUGGAGACAUUUUCAACACGGUGCUGUCUGGCCAAUCAGAGACAGCUGGGAUUAGCCAAAUACCUUCUCUCAUCUGCUUGCUCACAGAAAGGCCAACAUAUUCAAAGUCCAAAUAAUGUAUUUCUUCAAAAGUGACCAUUCUGGCUAAUAUGAUCCACUCUUACCUGGCGCCCACGAAUUGGCCUUCUCUCUUCACCUCCACUCUGGAUUUCGACCUGAAGUUUGACCUCCAUGGGUCUUCAGUUUAAAGGGCAAGCCCUAGGAAAUGCAGAAAGAGUUCAGAUAAGUACAAAAAUUACCUGUUAAAUACUAACUAAUUGCCCUUUUCCAGCUUAGCACUAACAGUACAGACUCCAUAAUGCCUGGAGAUCAUUCAGCUAAUAACAUCAAUAAAACAUUCCACCAGAUUUUGCCUUAAUUAUCUAAGUAGUACAGGUAGAAACAUUAAAUUCAGUGGAUGUGAAUAUUUAUAUCAAUGCUUUAUCCAUUCAGGAUUACACAUAACUUUCAUACCAAACUUCAGCCAAUUAUUUCUCAUUUUGUUAAUAACAAUUGUGCUUCCAAUUGCCACACUGGCUAAUUACAAGUCCAUAUGUAUUUUGAUGAACUGUACAUGUAAUUUUCUAAAUAGUUUCAGGUUUUUGAUUCUCAAGAAUGAUCAAAUGUGAAUAAAUUUUAAUGUCCAUAAGACAAAUUCAUUUCUAGUUCUAAAUAGUAGGAGAUAUACUGGUCUGUUAAAUUACAUUGUGUUUUGGAGCUAAAAUACAUUUGACUGUUUUGGAUUUUUGGGGAGAGACGAGCUUUGUUGCCAAUUUGACAUCUAGAGAUUAAACCAGAUAAUGGCUAUGAUGCUGGGAAACUUACAGUCUUUGAGACUUUUCUUUUAACAACCUUUGGGUCGCAGUAGAAAAACAAAAUCUCAGAAUAUUGGUUUACUUAUAUAAUCCCUAUAAGAGAGCGGGCUAGUUUAGGUUCACAAAAGAAAUAGAAAAUUCCUGAGUUUGCCCAUUGCUGUCUUGUAGCAAAAUAAAGCCACAGAGAAAUAUCCUUUAAGGCAAUAAAAGGAAGGUGUCUUCUGGUACAGACAUAUUUCAAUUGUUAUUGUUUUUUGAACUGACUGGAUGGUACUGGAUAAUAAUGGGGCUAUUUUUGACAGUCUCUUAUUUAUGUGUCUCUGGAUGUGUUUGUAUAUGUGUGUGGGUAAGUUUCAGUGCUACAUACAUCAGAAUAAUAUUUAAGGUUAAUAUGGUUGAAAUGAAUUUUUUUAUCCCCCAAAUGCAUUGAUUUCUAGAUUCCUCUAAAACAAUUUUAAAUUGUAUACCCACUACAAGAGCUUGUUUACAUAAGAAGUAGGAGAUAAAUAGAAAAAAUUCUUAUAAAAAUAAGAUUCUAGAGGAACAAUUGAGUUCGGGUUUGUUUUUUGAGACGCCCAAGUUGUAAAGUUGUCGAGAAAAAUUCAUAUUAACUUACUGGGGAGAUAACUUAAUAAAUAAAAUCUUUGAGCAGUUGACCUUUGUGGUGCAAACAUCAAUGGAGAUGAAUUCACUUAAUAUGGGGAUAGAAUUUCUGCAGGACUUUACCUAAGAUGGUAUGUUUUGCAACCUGGGCUUAGAAAACAAUCUGUGAAACUAAAAUAAAGUGGAAAUGGACUGACUUUGACUUGUAUAGCUAUGCUAUUAUUUUGAUUUCAGAAAUUUAUAUGAGGACAAUUUACAUAAAUGUUUGCCUCAGCCUGAUGAGCCCCAGAUCAGACAGUCCCCAGAUCUAUCCCCAGUACUCACUGAGCACAUACUAUAUGCCAAACUAUGUACAGGUACUGAAGAAACACGAAAACCUAUUUUGCCUCUAAAAGUCUUAGAGUAUCUUCUAUGUUUCUGUAGCAUUUAUAACAGUUGCAGUUUAUUGAUUAAUUACUUAAUGAAUCAUGUAAUAUUUUCCUAUUUCUAUAGAUUAUAUGCUCCCAGAUAGCAAAGUUUAUUCUUUGUUAUCUCCAGUGCCUAGCAGUAUCUAGCACAUAGAAAAUAUUUAAGAAGCAUUUGCCUAAAUACAAAAAAGUAUAAAUGAAUAGGAGACCCUGUUAGUUAUUAACCCAAUAUACAUUCUCCUUUUUUUCUUGCUAUCAAAAUAUUAGACAAUAGUUCAGCUGAAAAAUAUGUCUUAACCUUCCUUCCAUCUUCCAGGUAGUUGUGGGCCUUCUUUGGUUCUUUUUGCCCUAUGAGUUCCUGCUCCUGCUUUCAGUUUUGGACUGGAGCAACCAGCUGGCGCUCUACCAGUAUCUGGGAGCUGUAUUAUGAAAGCCAAGCUUUGGGGAUGAUAAAGCAAAAAGGCCCCUGAUAGUACCAUGGAACUCCCUGACCAGCAAUGAAGGGGCUCCUUCCAGACUCCUUUAGCACAACAGAAAAAUAAACUUCUAUCUUAUUUAAACUACUGCCAUUUCCUGUCUCUGAUACUAGUAGCUCAACAUACUUUUUCUAAGUGAUUCAGACCAUUAUAAAUUUCUGUUGCCGGUAAUUGGACAUAUGUAGCAGACAAACUAAUCCCAUUAAGACUAGUGUGUUAUUUUUUACCCCACAAUUGAAGACUCUUUUUGAUUGGCUUAAAUCAGUGGUUCUCCACUGAGGGUGGUUUUCUCCCCCUCCCCCCAGGAUAUCUGACAACAUCUGGAGACACUUUGGUGGUCACAGCUGGGGGAGGGGGGGCUUGUACUGGCAUCUAGUGGGUAGAGGCCAGACAUGCUGCUAUUGUCUUAUGGUGCACAGGACGCAGCCCUGCAACAAAAAAUUAUCCAGACCAAAAUAUUAAUGGUGCCAAGGUUAAGAAGCCCUGGGUUAAAUCUUUAUUAAUUAAGUUGCUUACGCAGCCCACCUAACCAUUAACUGUUGAUUAAUGUUUUUUUUUUUGUAAUGUGAGCCUACUUUUUGACUUUGCCUACACAGAAAAUGGUCAUUUUUCCUUACAUCAUAAGGUAAAGUUUAUUAAAUAAAGGUGUGUUUUACUUUUGUGACUAGAUGGCGGAAGUGGGUAAUGAACCAGGUAUCGGCCCGAUGAAUUCUCCUACAGAAAAGUAGAAUAAUACGAAGAAACACAAGAAAGCACCAAGUAAUGAAAAGGCUCAUUGUUACAGACACAACCGUUAAGACAAUGAUGCUGGAGAGUGAAAUAAAGAUGGUGAUGCAGCUCAGUGAACGUUUGAUUGGAAAUGAAGCUGUAGUUGAAUUGGGAAUUGAGACACUGGAAUAAGAUUCCUACUAUGGGAAA